Molecule: ribosomal RNA, 402 nt
Filed under: uncultured bacterium
Lineage: Bacteria
Description: bacterial SSU rRNA
Rfam family: Bacterial small subunit ribosomal RNA
Source: RNAcentral
UCGAGAAUUUUUCACAAUGGGGGAAACCCUGAUGGAGCGACGCCGCGUGGAGGAUGAAGGUUUUCGGAUUGUAAACUCCUGUCAUUAGAGAACAAGGCGUACGGCGUAACUGCCCGUACGUUGAUAGUAUCUGAAGAGGAAGAGACGGCUAACUCUGUGCCAGCAGCCGCGGUAAUACAGAGGUCUCAAGCGUUGUUCGGAUUCAUUGGGCGUAAAGGGUGCGUAGGUGGCGUUGUAAGUCAGAUGUGAAAUCUCCGAGCUUAACUCGGAAACUGCAUUUGAUACUGCAUCGCUUGAGGAUUGUAGAGGGCAUUGGAAUUCACGGUGUAGCAGUGAAAUGCGUAGAUAUCGUGAGGAAGACCAGUGGCGAAGGCGAAUGCCUGGGCAAUUCCUGACACUGAG